This is a long non-coding RNA of Sphaeramia orbicularis (orbiculate cardinalfish), 238 nucleotides long. RefSeq lists it as uncharacterized. The transcript is spliced from 3 exons. Lineage: Eukaryota; Metazoa; Chordata; Actinopteri; Kurtiformes; Apogonidae. The record is from RefSeq and is a predicted model, not a curated record.
UUAACUAAAAUAAUAUUGUACUUUUAUGAGAUUAAAGUCAUAAUAUUUUGAAAAUAAAUUCGCAAUAGUGCGAUAAAAGUCAUCAUUUAUAAAUCAUAAACCUUAAUCCUCGCUGAUGACAGUUUCCUUUCACAGCGAACGCAACAAACGAAGCACCAAUUUUCACUUCUGUCGGAGCGGAUGAACACGGUGAAAUGAAAGUAGAACCUCACAAAAUGUUCCAAGUUCUCCAUUAUGC